RNAcentral lists this small RNA (88 nucleotides) under Salmonella enterica subsp. enterica serovar Infantis. RNAcentral's name for it is "partial RtT sRNA". It matches the Rfam family "RtT RNA", at positions 46 to 130 of the family's 130-position model. From Rfam's summary of the family: This family represents a bacterial cis-regulatory element known as RtT RNA. The record is from RNAcentral. RNAcentral also lists the same sequence under 2 other names. Lineage: Bacteria; Pseudomonadati; Pseudomonadota; Gammaproteobacteria; Enterobacterales; Enterobacteriaceae.
AACUCAGAUGUUGAACGUGAAGGAUAACGUUGCGUCAGCAACGGCCCGUAGGGCAAGGCGAAGCCGAGUCAUCCUGCACGACCCACCA